GUGCCAGCAGCCGCGGUAAUACGUAGGUGGCAAGCGUUAUCCGGAAUUAUUGGGCGUAAAGCGCGCGUAGGCGAUUUUUUAAGUCUGAUGUGAAAGCCCACGGCUCAACCGUGGAGGGUCAUUGGAAACUGGAAAACUUGAGUGCAGAAGAGGAAAGUGGAAUUCCAUGUGUAGCGGUGAAAUGCGCAGAGAUAUGGAGGUCCACCAGUGGCGAAGGCGACUUUCUGGUCUGUAACUGACGCUGAUGUGCGAAAGCGUGGGGAUCAAACAGGAUUAGAU
This 279-nucleotide ribosomal RNA is filed under the name uncultured Staphylococcus sp. RNAcentral describes it as "partial 16S ribosomal RNA". It matches the Rfam family "Bacterial small subunit ribosomal RNA", at positions 505 to 783 of the family's 1533-position model. Lineage: Bacteria; Bacillati; Bacillota; Bacilli; Caryophanales; Staphylococcaceae. The record is from RNAcentral.